RNAcentral lists this microRNA (22 nucleotides) under Dasypus novemcinctus (nine-banded armadillo). RNAcentral describes it as "dno-miR-502-3p". Its record names the gene dno-miR-502-3p. Lineage: Eukaryota; Metazoa; Chordata; Mammalia; Cingulata; Dasypodidae. The record is from miRBase by way of RNAcentral.
AAUGCACCUAGGCAAGGAUUCA